RNAcentral lists this ribosomal RNA (484 nucleotides) under uncultured bacterium. RNAcentral describes it as "partial 16S ribosomal RNA". It matches the Rfam family "Bacterial small subunit ribosomal RNA", at positions 30 to 507 of the family's 1533-position model. The record is from RNAcentral.
AUUGAACGCUGGCGGCAGGCCUAACACAUGCAAGUCGAGCGGAUGAAGGGAGCUUGCUCCUGGAUUCAGCGGCGGACGGGUGAGUAAUGCCUAGGAAUCUGCCUGGUAGUGGGGGAUAACGUCCGGAAACGGGCGCUAAUACCGCAUACGUCCUGAGGGAGAAAGUGGGGGAUCUUCGGACUUCAGGUUAUCAGAUGAGCCUAGGUCGGAUUAGCUAGUUGGUGGGGUAAAGGCCUACCAAGGCGACGAUCCGUAACUGGUCUGAGAGGAUGAUCAGUCACACUGGAACUGAGACACAGUCCAGACUCCUACGGGAGGCAGCAGUGGGGAAUAUUGGACGAUGGGCGAAAGCCUGAUCCAGCCAUGCCGCGUGUGUGAAGAAGGUCUUCGGAUUGUAAAGCACUUUAAGUUGGGAGGAAGGGCAGUAAGUUAAUACCUUGCUGUUUUGACGUUACCAACAGAAUAAGCACCGGCUAACUUCGUG